This 518-nucleotide ribosomal RNA is filed under the name uncultured bacterium. RNAcentral's name for it is "bacterial SSU rRNA". It matches the Rfam family "Bacterial small subunit ribosomal RNA", at positions 8 to 564 of the family's 1533-position model. The record is from RNAcentral.
AGAGUUUGAUCCUGGCUCAGGAUGAAUGCUGGCGGCGUGCCUUAGGCAUGCAAGUCGAACGAGCUAGUUUACUAGCGAGUGGCGGACGGGUGAGUAAUGUAUAGGAAUCUACCCUUUGAUGGGGAAUACCUCAGAGAAAUUUGGGUUAAUACCGCAUAAUCUCUGCGGAGCAAAGGCCGUAACUGGUCGUCGAAGGAGGAGCCUAUAUCCUAUCAGCUUGUUGGUGAGGUAAAAGCUUACCAAGGCUAUGACGGGUAGGGGGUGUGAGAGCAUGACCCCCCACAAGGACACUGAUACACGGGUCCUACACCUACGGGUGGCAGCAACCAGGAAUAUUGCGCAAUGGGCGAAAGCCUGACGCAGCGACGCCGCGUGCGGGAUGAAGACCUUCGGGUUGUAAACCGCUGUGGGGGGGGAAGAUAAUGACGGUACCCCUCUAGAAAGCACCUGCUAACUACGUGCCAGAAGCCUCGGUGAUACGUAGGGUGCAAGCAUUAUCCGGAUUUACUGGGCGUAAA